Molecule: ribosomal RNA, 460 nt
Filed under: uncultured bacterium
Lineage: Bacteria
Description: partial 16S ribosomal RNA
Rfam family: Bacterial small subunit ribosomal RNA
Source: RNAcentral
CCUACGGGAGGCAGCAGUGAGGAAUAUUGGUCAAUGGACGGAAGUCUGAACCAGCCAUGCAGCGUGAAGGAAGACGGCUCUAUGAGUUGUAAACUGCUUUUGUACAGGGAUAAACUUGAAUACGUGUAUUCAGCUGCAAGUACCGUAUGAAUAAGGAUCGGCUAACUCCGUGCCAGCAGCCGCGGUAAUACGGAGGAUCCAAGCGUUAUCCGGAUUUAUUGGGGUUAAAGGGAGCGUAGGUGGAUUGUUAAGUCAGUUGUGAAAGUUUGCGGCUCAACCGUAAAAUUGCAGUUGAAACUGGCAGUCUUGAGUACAGUAGAGGUGGGCGGAAUUCGUGGUGUAGCGGUGAAAUGCUUAGAUAUCACGAAGAACUCCGAUUGCGAAGGCAGUUUGCUGGACUGCAACUGACGCUGAGGCUCGAAAGUGUGGGUAUCAAACAGGAUUAGAUACCCGGGUAGUC